RNAcentral lists this ribosomal RNA (253 nucleotides) under uncultured bacterium. RNAcentral describes it as "partial 16S ribosomal RNA". It matches the Rfam family "Bacterial small subunit ribosomal RNA", at positions 524 to 776 of the family's 1533-position model. The record is from RNAcentral.
UACGUAGGUGGCAAGCGUUGUCCGGAUUUACUGGGUGUAAAGGGCGUGCAGCCGGGAGUGCAAGUCAGAUGUGAAAUCCCGCGGCUCAGCCGCGGAACUGCAUUUGAAACUGUGCUUCUUGAGUGCUGGAGAGGCAGACGGAAUUCCUAGUGUAGCGGUGAAAUGCGUAGAUAUUAGGAGGAACACCAGUGGCGAAGGCGGUCUGCUGGACAGUAACUGACGGUGAGGCGCGAAAGCGUGGGGAGCAAACAGG